This 374-nucleotide ribosomal RNA is filed under the name uncultured bacterium. Its description in RNAcentral is "bacterial SSU rRNA". It matches the Rfam family "Bacterial small subunit ribosomal RNA", at positions 527 to 898 of the family's 1533-position model. The record is from RNAcentral.
GUAGGGUCCGAGCGUUGUCCGGAAUUAUUGGGCGUAAAGGGCUCGUAGGCGGUUUGUCGCGUCGGGAGUGAAAACGCCGGGCUUAACCCGGUGCUUGCUUUCGAUACGGGCAGACUGGAGGUAUGCAGGGGAGAACGGAAUUCCUGGUGUAGCGGUGAAAUGCGCAGAUAUCAGGAGGAACACCGGUGGCGAAGGCGGUUCUCUGGGCAUGACCUGACGCUGAGGAGCGAAAGUGUGGGGAGCGAACAGGAUUAGAUACCCUGGUAGUCCACACCGUAAACGUUGGGCGCUAGGUGUGGGAUCCAUUCCACGGGUUCCGUGCCGUAGCUAACGCAUUAAGCGCCCCGCCUGGGGAGUACGGCCGCAAGGCUAAA